UUGUUGGUGAGGUAAUGGCUCACCAAGGCGGCGACGGGUAGCCGGCCUGAGAGGGCGAUCGGCCACACUGGGACUGAGACACGGCCCAGACUCCUACGGGAGGCAGCAGUGGGGAAUAUUGCACAAUGGGCGCAAGCCUGAUGCAGCGACGCCGCGUGAGGGAUGAAGGCCUUCGGGUUGUAAACCUCUUUCAGCAGGGAAGAAGCGAAAGUGACGGUACCUGCAGAAGAAGCACCGGCUAACUACGUGCCAGCAGCCGCGGUAAUACGUAGGGUGCAAGCGUUGUCCGGAAUUAUUGGGCGUAAAGAGCUUGUAGGCGGUUUGUCGCGUCUGCUGUGAAAUUUCGGGGCUCAACCCCGAACUUGCAGUGGGUACGGGCAGACUAGAGUGUGGUAGGGGAGACUGGAAUUCCUGGUGUAGCGGUGAAAUGCGCAGAUAUCAGGAGGAACACCGAUGGCGAAGGCAGGUCUCUGGGCCACUACUGACGCUGAGAAGCGAAAGCAUGGGGAGCGAACAGGAUUAGAUACCCUGGUAGUCCAUGCCGUAAACGGUGGGAACUAGGUGUGGGCCUCAUUCCACGAGGUCCGUGCCGCAGCUAACGCAUUAAGUUCCCCGCCUGGGGAGUACGGCCGCAAGGCUAAAACUCAAAGGAAUUGACGG
This 660-nucleotide ribosomal RNA is filed under the name uncultured bacterium. Its description in RNAcentral is "bacterial SSU rRNA". It matches the Rfam family "Bacterial small subunit ribosomal RNA", at positions 246 to 916 of the family's 1533-position model. The record is from RNAcentral.